UGCUCUCCUCAGACAUCUGACCAGGAAAGGCUAGGGACAGAGGGGAGGAGCGGAAAAGAGAGAGAGAAAAGACAAUGUGUCAAGAGUCACUUUUCCAAAGAAAACUGAGCACAUUGCGCAAGCCGCGUGGAGGUCACAGCCGUUGCACAGAGUCUCGGCACAUGAACACGUGUGGACGCCUCUCAGUCACACGUUUUGUUUCCCAUCAGAAGGUCGUGGAUGUCAACUGUCAUCUCAUCUCCACUUCGGCUCGGAUGGAAACUGAAACACAAAGAUGAUUCUCCUCCGCUUACACUACGGGGUGGGAGAAAUGGAAGCAAAGCCAGGAACAUCUAAUUCCUCAUCCUGAGUUAGUCCAUUGGGUCAGUUAGCCCUGUAAGUGUUGUAGUCAUUCAAAAUAAAAAACCAAGUGUGAUUUUUCUGUA
Molecule: long non-coding RNA, 425 nt
Organism: Sus scrofa (pig)
Lineage: Eukaryota; Metazoa; Chordata; Mammalia; Artiodactyla; Suidae
Source: RefSeq, a predicted model, not a curated record